AGUGAACGCUGGCGGUAGGCCUAACACAUGCAAGUCGAACGGCAGCACAGAGGAGCUUGCUCCUUGGGUGGCGAGUGGCGGACGGGUGAGGAAUACAUCGGAAUCUACUCUGUCGUGGGGGAUAACGUAGGGAAACUUACGCUAAUACCGCAUACGACCUACGGGUGAAAGCAGGGGAUCUUCGGACCUUGCGCGAUUGAAUGAGCCGAUGUCGGAUUAGCUAGUUGGCGGGGUAAAGGCCCACCAAGGCGCCGAUCCGUAGCUGGUCUGAGAGGAUGAUCAGCCACACUGGAACUGAGACACGGUCCAGACUCCUACGGGAGGCAGCAGUGGGGAAUAUUGGACAAUGGGCGCAAGCCUGAUCCAGCCAUACCGCGUGGGUGAAGAAGGCCUUCGGGUUGUAAAGCCCUUUUGUUGGGAAAGAAAUCCAUCUGGUUAAUACCCGGGUGGGAUGACGGUACCCAAAGAAUAAGCACCGGCUAACUUCGUGCCAGCCGCCGCCGUAA
Molecule: ribosomal RNA, 506 nt
Filed under: uncultured bacterium
Lineage: Bacteria
Description: partial 16S ribosomal RNA
Rfam family: Bacterial small subunit ribosomal RNA
Source: RNAcentral